RNA transcript from Homo sapiens (human), 2485 nucleotides. It is a transcript of the gene named dual specificity phosphatase 5 pseudogene 1, with no coding region annotated. The record is from RefSeq and is marked validated. The transcript has 2 exons. Lineage: Eukaryota; Metazoa; Chordata; Mammalia; Primates; Hominidae.
AGGCCGGGAUAGGGUGGAGGGGGCUUGGGCUGCGCCCAGAACACGGGGGCCAGGCGGUCCGUGCGAGAGGACCAACGGAGCGCUGAGGCGGGCGUUUUCUUGGAUGAAUUGCUUGCUUUGGAGGCAUCUGCAAUCAGAUUCAUAGAAAGAACUCUAACAGGUACUCUUGAAUACAGAUUUCUAAUAACUUUAAGAUCAAUGGAAAGCAGAGCUGCACUGCGGUUAGGGCCUAGUUCCAUCAGCGGCUGCAGCCCCAUGGGUCGCCCAUGGGGACCCUGGCCUUGGGCACCUGUGGAGUACGUGGCGCUGGGUCGCUGGGUCGCUGGCGCCAGUGUGCAAGAUGCUCCGCAAGGAGGCAGCGGCGGGCUGGAUGGUGCUUGGCUGCCGGCCCUACCUGGCCUUUACCGCCUUGAGCGUGCCUGGCUCACUCAACAUCAACCUCUAUUCACUGGUGUGCGCCAGCCCGGGGCGGCUGUGGGGUCAGCGUGCUACUUGCUGCCAGAUGCCUCGGAGCACGCUGCUGCUGCAGGAGGGCAGCAUCCUGGUGGCCGUGAUGGUGCUGAACUAGGGGAGCUGCCACGGGCAGAAGCUGUGCGAGGAGAGUGCCCGGCGGGUUGUCCUCACCUCACUGCUCGCCUGCCUGCCCUCCUGCUGGCGGGUCUACUUCCUCAAAGGGGGAUAUGAGACCUUCUUCCAGGGUUGCAUGGAUGUAAAACUCGUUUCACUCGUUUCAAAGUGAGAGAGCUCUCAUCAGCCAGUGUGGAAAGCUAGUAGUGCUAAACAUCAACUACAGGCCAGCUUAUGAUCAGGGUGGUCCAGUUGAAAUCCUUUCCUCCCUCUACCUUGGAGGUGCCUACCAUGCAUCCAAGUGCAAGUUCCUCAUCAAGCUAUACAUCACAGCCCAGCUGAAUGUCCCCUUGUGGACCUGGCUGUGAGGCCUGCAAGACCCACCUACAUACGAAUGGAUCCUUGUGGAAGAAGGCCACAUGGCUGACAUUAGCUCUCACUUUCAAGAAGCAAUAGACUUCAUUGACUGUGUCAGAGAAAAGAAAGGCAAGGUCCUGGUCCACUGUGAAGCUGGGUUCUCCUGUUCACCCACCAUCUGCAUGGCUUCCCUCAUAAAGACCAAGCACUUCUGCCUGAAGGAGGCCUUCAAUUAUGUCAAGUGGAAGAGGAGCAUGAUCUCACCCAGCUUUGGCUUCAUGGGCCAGCUCCUGCGGUAGGAAUUUGAAAUCCUCCCUUCCACACCCAAUCCCUAGCUUCCCUCCUACCAGGGGGAGGCAGCAGGCUCUUCAUUGAUAAGCCAUUUGCAGACAUUUAGCCCUGACUUGAAGGGUGUCUACUGCACAUUCCCUGCCUCAGUGCUGGCUCCAGUGCCCACCCACUGGACAGUCUCAGAGCUCAGCAGGAGCCCUGUGGCCACAGCCACAUUCUGCUAAAACUGGGAUAGAGGAACAAGCCCAGCCCCAAGAGCAGCUAUGACUUUUGUUUUUAAGAAUGGACAUUUCACAUCUGUGCAAUACUGAAGACCUCACUUUGUCAUGUUGCCCCAGUGACAUAGUGAGAGGUCACCAGGCUUGCAAAUGAACUUCACACAGACCUCAGGGUAGGUUCUCAGGAUUGAAGGAAGGCCAAGCAAUUACAGGAGCACAGCACGUGCUGACUACUGUACUUCCAGACCCCCUGCCCUCAAGGGACUGCCCAGUCCUUGCACCUCAAAGUUCGCCUUUUCAUUUCAAGCAUAAGGCAAUAAAUACCUGCAGCAACAUGGGAGAAAGAAGUUGCUGGACCAACAGAAAUGGCACUUAUGAAGCCAAUUCAUUUUGAAGGAAGCACAAUUUCCACCUUAUUUUUCAAACUUUGGCAGUCUCAAUGUCUGUCUCCGUUGCUUCAGGAAAUAAGCUGAUCACCAUCUAGUCAGGAAAGUAACCCUACAGGGUUUGUGGAGACAUGAUAUAUAUGCCAAUUUGAACCCUGAAAUGUUUUUUACAUACCCUCUUGGGUCCAAUGGAGGCAGUUGGUUGAAGUAGCAAGAUGUUGGCCUUUCUGGGUUUCUCUUUUGCUGUGGCUUCCUCACUGACCUUGGACUUUUAUAAGUAUGAUACAAAUCUACACUUGAAUAAGUAUGACUGUUACUCAUACUUGAACUUAUCUCAUUGCACCUCUUCUCAGCAGCUCUUCAUUUGAGAAAAUAUUUUUUCAGAUCAUAGACUAAAAAAUCAUACCAUCAAGGUGGCGGCACCAGGUGCCAGGAGGAAAAGGGUACUUGCUGUGUAUCCUGGGUCAGUAAUAUUGAAAACUGUCUUCUUCAGCUUCCUGUCCUUCUAUGUGUUGUGUCUCUUGUGACAGUUGUUUUGUCUUCAAGCCACUGACUUCUGGAAUUUGCAGAUUUUGCAAUCCAUGCAAAUGUGAAGAAAAGCUCUAUGUUACUGACCAUUGUUGUUGUUGUUUAUAGUGCAAAAUAAAAAUAGCAAAAAGGAAAAAA